Molecule: ribosomal RNA, 429 nt
Filed under: Gemmatimonadota bacterium
Lineage: Bacteria; Pseudomonadati; Gemmatimonadota
Description: Gemmatimonadetes bacterium partial 16S ribosomal RNA
Rfam family: Bacterial small subunit ribosomal RNA
Source: RNAcentral
UAGGGAAUCUUCGGCAAUGGACGAAAGUCUGACCGAGCAACGCCGCGUGAGUGAAGAAGGGUUUCGGAUCGUAAAACUCUGUUGUUAGAGAAGAACAAGGACGUUAGUAACUGAACGUCCCCUGACGGUAUCUAACCAGAAAGCCACGGCUAACUACGUGCCAGCAGCCGCGGUAAUACGUAGGUGGCACGCGUUGUCCGGAUUUAUUGGGCGUAAAGCGAGCGCAGGCGGUUUCUUAAGGCUGAUGGGAAAGCCCCCGGCUCAACAGGGGAGGGUCAUUGGAAACUGGGAGACUUGAGUGCAGAAGAGGAAAGUGGAAUUCCAUGUGUGUCGGUGAAAUGCGUAGAUAUAUGGAGGAACACCAGUGGCGAAGGCGGCUCUCUGGUCUGUAACUGACGCUGAGGCUCGAAAGCGUGGGGAGCAAACAGG